RNAcentral lists this ribosomal RNA (440 nucleotides) under uncultured bacterium. RNAcentral's name for it is "bacterial SSU rRNA". It matches the Rfam family "Bacterial small subunit ribosomal RNA", at positions 338 to 768 of the family's 1533-position model. The record is from RNAcentral.
CCUACGGGUGGCAGCAGUGGGGAAUCUUGCGCAAUGGGAGCAAUCCUGACGCAGCGACGCCGCGUGCGGGAGGAAGGUCUUCGGACUGUAAACCGCUGUCAGCGGGGACGAACCCCUGGGGGAGGCAAUGCCCUCAGGCUGACGGUACCCGCAGAGGAAGCACCGGCUAACUCCGUGCCAGCAGCCGCGGUAAUACGGAGGGUGCGAGCGUUGUUCGGAAUUAUUGGGCGUAAAGCGCACGUAGGCGGUUGAGGUAAGUCUCAUGGUGAAAGGCCGGGGCUCAACCCCGUGCUGGCCAGGGAUACUGCUCGACUGGAGACAGGGAGAGGCCAGUGGAAUUCCGGGUGUAGCGGUGGAAUGCGUAGAGAUCCGGAAGAACACCGGAGGCGAAGGCGGCUGGCUGGCCCUGAUCUGACGCUGAGGUGCGAAAGCGUGGGGAG